This 448-nucleotide ribosomal RNA is filed under the name uncultured bacterium. RNAcentral's name for it is "bacterial SSU rRNA". It matches the Rfam family "Bacterial small subunit ribosomal RNA", at positions 329 to 794 of the family's 1533-position model. The record is from RNAcentral.
UUCCAGACUCCUACGGGAGGCAGCAGUGGGGAAUAUUGCACAAUGGGGGAAACCCUGAUGCAGCAACGCCGCGUGAGUGAAGAAGUAUUUCGGUAUGCAAAGCUCUAUCAGCAGGGAAGAAAAUGACGGUACCUGAGUAAGAAGCACCGGCUAAAUACGUGCCAGCAGCCGCGGUAAUACGUAUGGUGCAAGCGUUAUCCGGAUUUACUGGGUGUAAAGGGGGCGCAGACGGCGAUGCAAGCCAGGAGUGAAAGCCCGGGGCCCAACCCCGGGACUGCUCUUGGAACUGCGUGGCUGGAGUGCAGGAGGGGCAGGCGGAAUUCCUGGUGUAGCGGUGAAAUGCGUAGAUAUCAGGAGGAACACCGGUGGCGAAGGCGGCCUGCUGGACUGCAACUGACGUUGAGGCCCGAAAGCGUGGGGAGCAAACAGGAUUAGAUACCCUUGUAGC